Molecule: non-coding RNA, 1882 nt
Organism: Cherax quadricarinatus
Lineage: Eukaryota; Metazoa; Arthropoda; Malacostraca; Decapoda; Parastacidae
Source: RefSeq, a predicted model, not a curated record
UUAGGUUAGGUUAGGUUAGGUUAGGUAAGGUUUGGUUAGGUAAGGUUAAGUUAGGUUAGGUUAGGUUAGGUUAGGUUAGGUUAGGUUAGGUUAGGUUAGGUUAGGUUAGGUAAGGUUAAAUUAGGUUAGGUUAGGUUAGGUUAGGUUAGGUUAGGUUAGGUUAGGUUAGGUUAGGUAAGGUUAGGUUAGGUAAGGUUAGGUUAGGUUAGGUUAGGUAAGGUUAGGUUAGGUAAGGUUAGGUUAGGUUAGGUUAGGUUAGGUUAGGUUAGGUUUGUCAGGAAACAGGACAAGUGUUUCCUGACGCGGGUCUUAGUCAUAUGGUGACCCGCGACUGGAGGUUUUAGUCAUCUGACCGAGGCCUUCCACUGGCUUACUCCUUCACCCCUUUAUAAAUUAAGAUUAUUCUUGUAUUAGGUUAAGAGUAAUGAAGUAGCCCUUAAACAACUGCUAUGUCAUGCUAGAUGUUAUUAAACAAAUCACCUAUAACUAAACAGCUGUUAAUGGUACCACCAGAGGUGGAAAGUAAUCAAAAACAUAGGUAACAUCUGCUAAAUGGUGGCAGCUUAGGUAAAAAGUAACCAAAUGGACUUUAAACAUCUGUUGAAUAGUUUUAGUUGAGCCUAGAAGUGAUUAAAUACAUAAAAAAUAAUCAAAUUGACCAACACAGCUGUUAUAUGGCACAGGAACCAGCAGGUGCUGGCAUUAAAAUGGUAUAAAAUACCGACAGGUUGUUAGGUAAGACACAUAAGCAACAGUUAGAUACCUAACUGUUGCAUAUGUGUCUUACCUAACAACAGAUGCUGGCACGAGAGAAGUUAAAAUGUAUUUUAACUCUAUGAUAACCUUGAUUAUUGUUAAAGACAAGGUUAUCACUCUUAGUACAGUAAUUCAACUUCUCCUCCAUACAUAAAAGUUAACAUUAUAUUUUUUUAAUAUUGUAAGUGAGGUUAAUCUAGCGUAUAUGGUAAUAUAUCCAUAAAAAAAACUGCCAUACUGGCAAGUUUAUUUUCGAUACAGUCUUUUGAUAUGAUGCAAAUAAUUGAGAAAAAUAAUUGAGAAUUUUGCAACAUUUCGGAACCCACUAUGGCGAAACGUUCCUGCAACAAUGUUACACAAGUAUCACAUGCUUCAACAACCAUUUGGUAAUUUUAUUAUCCAUCUUGCAACAGCAGAAGGUGAAAAACUAGUGAGGAAUUUCUUCGUUCAGAAAAUCAACAGGGACAAAUUUCCUUCAUUUUUGAAUUUGGAAAAAACACUACAGACGUUCUUUUUUUUUAGGAUAUACUGAAUGAUUUCCGAAUUAACUUAAUCUACAAGCAUGGGCGUCCACUAACCAUGGAUCAAACCUGUGUUAAGGGGACUUAGCCAUGUACAUUAAUGCCUCUGAGCCGACAAUGGUAUACAAUAACACUUUCAGCCAAGAAAUUUGAUUAAUGCAACAUUUCACCCACUAAAGGGGGCUUUAUCAAAUACCAGUGGUCAGUGGAGGACCCAGAAGGUAAAAAAUCCACCCCAUAACUCAAUCAGCACCCCAGAUAAAAAAAAAUACAUAGAUAAUCCAGCUUCAAGUUGCCUAGUCCUCUUUUCCAACUAGAUGGCCACAUUUCGCCCACUGGCAGUGGGCGAAAUGUGGUAUCUAUGACUUUUUUCCUUCUGAAAGUGUAUUUAUACCAGCAAAACAUUUAUAAUGAUGUCAAGAACCAAGCUUGUAUAUUCCUCUCACAUCUCCCUGGUAAAAUUUCAGUGUACGCCCGUGUAUAUGCAUUAACAUAGCCUACAUAACAUAGUCCAUAAAACAUAGCCUACAUAACAUAGUCCAUUAAACAUAGCCUACAAAACAUAGCCUAUUAAACAUGGUCUACUAUAUAUAGCCUAUUAAUCA